This 478-nucleotide ribosomal RNA is filed under the name uncultured bacterium. RNAcentral's name for it is "partial 16S ribosomal RNA". It matches the Rfam family "Bacterial small subunit ribosomal RNA", at positions 28 to 523 of the family's 1533-position model. The record is from RNAcentral.
GACGAACGCUGGCGGCGUGCUUAACACAUGCAAGUCGAACGGUAAGGCCCUUCGGGGUGCACGAGUGGCGAACGGGUGAGUAACACGUGGGUGAUCUGCCCUGCACUUCGGGAUAAGCCUGGGAAACUGGGUCUAAUACCGGAUAGGACUCCGGACUGCAUGGUCUGGGGUGGAAAGCUUUUGCGGUGUGGGAUGGGCCCGCGGCCUAUCAGCUUGUUGGUGGGGUGAUGGCCUACCAAGGCGACGACGGGUAGCCGGCCUGAGAGGGUGACCAGCCACACUGGGACGGAGAUACGGCCCAGACUCCUACGGGAGGCAGCAGUGGGGAAUAUUGCACAAUGGGCGCAAGCCUGAUGCAGCGACGCCGCGUGAGGGAUGACGGCCUUCGGGUUGUAAACCUCUUUCAGCAUCGACGAAGCGAAAGUGACGGUAGGUGCAGAAGAAGGACCGGCCAACUACGUGCCAGCCGCCGCCGUAA